UACGUAGGGUGCGAGCGUUGUCCGGAUUUAUUGGGCGUAAAGAGCUCGUAGGCGGUCUGUCGCGUCGGAUGUGAAAACCCAGGGCUCAACCCUGGGCCUGCAUUCGAUACGGGCAGACUAGAGUAUGGCAGGGGAGACUGGAAUUCCUGGUGUAGCGGUGAAAUGCGCAGAUAUCAGGAGGAACACCGGUGGCGAAGGCGGGUCUCUGGGCCAAAACUGACGCUGAGGAGCGAAAGCGUGGGGAGCGAACAGG
Molecule: ribosomal RNA, 253 nt
Filed under: uncultured bacterium
Lineage: Bacteria
Description: partial 16S ribosomal RNA
Rfam family: Bacterial small subunit ribosomal RNA
Source: RNAcentral